GAGGGACCCCAAAGCCAGGUCUGGAAAAGGGGGGUGGGUUGGGUGGUGGGGGUGCAGCCCCCAAAGAAAUGGGGGUCGAAAUGGAGGAAACCCCACUGAGAUGCUCAAAUGUAAAACCGCUGAAGAAUAAAGGGACAAAUGUACACAUCUGUCUAAAUGAAAAAAAUGAAAAUCCUGGCCGCAAAAACACAUACAUUAACGUCUAAAGACCUGCAGGGAAGACAAGACUUUUCCGCCUGGGACACAUGAAAGACAUCGAGCUAAUUUCCUUAAUAAAUGAAGAGCUCUUGGAAACCAACGAGAUAAAGACCAAACCAAGACAGAAAAAUGGGCAAAAGGGAUAAAACUGGCAAUUCGCAAGAAAAUCCAAACGGCUGGCCGACCUGCGAAGGAAACAUCACGACCUGUUUGCAUAAAGAAAUGCAAACCUGAAACACCGGGCACGUGCGGUUUAGGGGAGCGGGCAGUCUCACACACUACUGAGUUGUUUCCCAGCAGCCGUCAAUACAGACCUUCCACUGCGUAAGCCCACUGCAUUGCCAUUUAAUAAAACAGCAAGAAAAUGAGAGAGAAAAAUAAUGAGGUAGAAUUGUAUGGGAUUAUUAAGGAUUGAAUUCUCAGUAGAUUUAGUGAAAUAUACAAGUUACUGAAGUUUGUAGAAACGAACUGGUAAGUGUUUUCUCAUUUAUUUGUUUUUUAAGGAUAAACCCAAAUAUAGGUAAAACUGUUGGAAAGGUAGGCAAGAAAUUGUUGAUGAGUUACUUCUAGGGACAAGGAAUGUGGGGUGGAAGAGGGAUUUUUCCCUUCUGCCAUCCAUACUGUGAAUUUCCUUGGCAGAAAUACGUAUUUCUUCUCUGGCAGUAAAAUCAAUGAAUUACUAAAAGUUCACUAAUGUACUCUUUGGUCCAACUAUUCCACUCUCAAGGAACUAAAAAAGCAAAGGAAAUACAGGGAUAUACAGAAGAUUCUAUACAGGGAUAUUCACGGAGCAUCAUUUUUAUCACCAAAAAUGUGCUCCACAGAAAAGAAUUAAACUGUAUUCUGGUAAAUUUACACAGCGCGAUUUUAACUGACUAAUAAAAAUGCUGUAUGAUUUUAACUUUAAAGGAAAAAAUCUGUAAGAUGUGGUUAAUUACCAAAAGGUGUUUACCUAAGGAGCACACAGACUUUAAUACCCCAAAUUAAACUUUAUAUUAUACUCAAGGAGUUAUCAGUGGUUGCUUGCUACACUGAGAAGCUGCUUUAUGUGUUUUAGACUCCCUAGACCAUCAACAGUCUCUUUUUGCCCAGCAGUGCCACAUAAACAUAAUAUACGAAUGAAAACACUGUGCUUCUUAUGAAAAUACACGUUCAAAACAAAUUCCCCAGCAGGAAUAUUGAAGGUGAAUGUGGUAGUACCCUGACUUAGGUUACAGAUUUUCAAAUCUGGCUACUCUCAUUAGGCUCACCUGGAGAGCUGUUAAACAAUGCAGAUUCCCAGUGUCCCACAGAGAUCUUUGUUUUUCAGGUUCCCAAGGGAUCCUAAUGUCUAGUUAAGGUUUUGUAGGUGAUUUUAAUAUAUUUUAAAGACUCCAUCAUCCCCCUGUCUCCUCAAAGGCCUCUAUCUGCAAUACCAGUUUCUCUCCGGAUCCUGAAUCAUUAAUUUCCACAAGACACCACAUGCUCUCAGAGCUCCUGCAGUUACCACCCCCUUGCUCAGCACCUCUUGGCCCUGAAAAUGCCUCUUGAUAGAGCAGUCUACUGUCACUAACUCAAUGGUUUUACCAUACAUUCUCUCCUGCUAACAUAUAUGCCCCACAGGCUUCCAUCCCUUCCAAACCCACUGAAAUUGCUUGACAAUUUCAGCAAUUCCUUAUGUGGCCAAGAAACUUGCUCUUAAUCUCACUUUAUCUCUCAGUAAUAUUCAACAUCCUCAUUAAAACAAGCAAACAAAAACAAAAUCCCAUGCAUGCUAUCUUAUUUUUGGUGACAAUUACAUGGUCCUGGUUUCCGCUCCCCUGCCAUCAGUGGUCUCUUCUCAGUCAUAAAUGGCUUCUGCUCUGCUUGCCAUCUACACGCUGGAGGGUCUUGCCUCAGAACUUAGUCACUAGUCUUCUCCAUCAAUGUCCACUCCCUAGGUAACAACCCUUCCCUCCUCACCUAGUCACAUAAUUUAAAUGCCACCUACAUGCCAAUGGCUCCCAAAUUCCAAUCCUCUGCCACAGGACUGUCCACAAAAGCGCAGUCUUUUGCUUAGAAACUGACUGCUCCCCUUGGAUGUCUAUCAGGCAACUCAAAGCAUUUUAAACAAAUAUUAAUUUCCCCUUUCCCCAUUUCUAUAAACAGUACCAGUUGCUGAAGCCAAAAAACAAAAACAAAAAACGACAAAAAAAACCCUCACGAUUGUUCUCGUUCCUUUUUUCCUUACCACCAACAUCCAAUUUAUCAGCAAGUCUUGCUGACCCUAUCUAAGGCAAAUCCCAAAUUUGUCCCAUGAUUUCCCUUUCCAUGGUAGUCCUAAGAAACAUUAUCUUCCUACAAAAACCCUUCUUCCAUUCCAAACCCUUCCUCCAGUAUUCUCCACACAGUAUUAAGGGUGAUCUUGCAAAGCAAAAAAGAUGUCAAUGUUCCAGCUUGAAUGACCUCCUGCCCCCAUCCCAAUUGCAUUUAAAGUCCAAAAGCCCAAAAUUAGAAGAGCCAACAUUAUCUUUUGUCUUAGAGGACAAUUAAAUAUAGGUGUUGUAAAAUUUCACAAUCUCUUCCUUCAAUGCCUAAUUUAAGAAAUUCUUCCCCACACUGAUGUCAUAAAGAUAUUCAAAUAGCUGUGCAUUUUAGUUUUCUUUAUGGUUAUUUUUGCCUAUGUUCUGUGUUAGGGAUCUAAUUUUCCCCUGACUUUGUAUCAUAUUUCUCUAUAUGAGCAGGUCUGUGCUUGAACUCUCUUGUUGGUCCCCUGAUCCAUUUCUCUAUCUCUGUGCAUUAACGCACCAUAUUAUUACAGCUUUACAGUAUCUUGGUAUUUGAAAGGGCGACGGCCCUACCUUGUUUUUCAAAAGUGUCUGGCCCUACCUUGUCUUUCAAAAUUAUCUGACUCUUAGCCCACCAUCUUUCAAAUAAUUUUUAGAAGCAGCUUUUAAAGUUUGAUGAACUAUCCUAUUGAGAUUCUGACAUUUUAUUAAAUCCACACAGCAAUUUAGAGAAAUUGAAAACAUUAUAUCAAGAUCUCUCAUCUUUGACCACUGUCUAUAUCUCUUACGGCUGUCAAUGAUACACUGUAAUUUUUUUUCCCUAUAAAGGCCUUAUUUGACUUUAGGAGGUCCUUUUUUUCCCCCAUUAAUUGUAUAAUUGGUUAUUUAAUAGUUUCAGAAUUACAAAAAAGUUGCAAAGAUAGUACAAAACUUCCCCACCCUGUUUUCCCUGAUGUUAAUACCUUACAUAACCUUGCUACUUUGUCAAAAAGAAGAGAUAAUAUUAACACUAAACAAACUACAGACUUUGUUUUGAUUUCACCCAUUUUUCCAUUACUAUCUUCCUUCUGUUCCAGGAUCUCAUCCCAGACACAGCAUUACAUUUAGUGAUUACAUCUCCUUAGGCUCCCCAAGGCUGUGACAGCUUCUCAGUAUUUUGUAGAAUACUCAGUUUGUUUGAUAUUUUCUCACAACUUGAUUUGGGUUAUGAAUUUUUGAGAAGAGUAUCUGCUAUUGCCUUUUUUUUUUUUUUUUUUUUUUUUUGAGACAGAGUCCGGCUGUGUCGCCCAGGCUGGCGAUGCAAUGGCUCAAUCUCAGCUCACUGCAACCUCCACCUCCCGGGUUCAAGCAAUUCUCCUCCCUCAGCCUCCUGGGUAGCUGGGAUUACAAUCAUUUGCCAUCAUGCCCAGCUAAUUUUUGUAUUUUUAGUAGCGAUGGAGUUUCACCAUGUUGGCCAGGCUGGUCUCGAACUCCUGACCUUGUGAUCAGCAUACCCUGGUCUCCCAAAGUGCUGGGAUUACACCGCACCCGGCCUGCUAUUGCUUUUUAUACGCUGACUUUGGAUCCAGUGAACUUGUUGACUUUUUUUUUCUACACAAAAAAAAGUUCCUGUAUUUUUAAAAUGUUAACAUGCUAAUUAAUGACUUCAUUUUUACUUUCGGAGUUUCACCAUGUUGGCCAGGCUGGUCUCGAACUCCUGACCUUGUGAUCAGCAUACCCUGGUCUCCCAAAGUGCUGGGAUUACACUGCACCCGGCCUGCUAUUGCUUUUUAUACGCUGACUUUGGAUCCAGUGAACUUGUUGACUUUUUUUUCUACAGAAAAAAAUGUUCCUGUAUUUUUAAAAUAUUAACAUGCUAAUUAAUGACUUCAUUUUUACUCUCAUUGACAAUCAUACCUCACUUCAUUAACAUAAUGCAUUGGCUAGGACUUCUGGGGUGAUAUUGAACAAGUCUUGUCCUAUAUUUGAAAGGGGAUACUCUUAUCUUUACUAUGAAAGGGGAUACUCUUAUCUUUACUAUGAAGUAAAAACAUUCACUGCAGGCUUGUUUUGUACAGCCUCUUUAUUGGGGGUUAAGGAAAUUGCCUUAAGUUCUAGUU
Molecule: long non-coding RNA, 4543 nt
Filed under: Homo sapiens (human)
Lineage: Eukaryota; Metazoa; Chordata; Mammalia; Primates; Hominidae
Description: non-protein coding MIMT1:6
Rfam family: MER1 repeat containing imprinted transcript 1 conserved region 1 (bases 1-75)
Source: RNAcentral